RNAcentral lists this ribosomal RNA (868 nucleotides) under Gomphus clavatus. RNAcentral describes it as "partial large subunit ribosomal RNA". It matches the Rfam family "Eukaryotic large subunit ribosomal RNA", at positions 87 to 938 of the family's 3401-position model. The record is from RNAcentral. Lineage: Eukaryota; Fungi; Basidiomycota; Agaricomycetes; Gomphales; Gomphaceae.
CGGCGAGUGAAGCGGGAAGAGCUCAAAUUUGAAAUCUGGCGGCCUUUGGUCGUCCGAGUUGUAGUCUGGAGAAGCGUCUUCCGCGCCGGACCGUGUACAAGUCCCUUGGAACGGGGCGUCAUAGAGGGUGAGAAUCCCGUCUUUGACACGGACCGCCGGUGCUUUGUGAUGCGCUCUCAAAGAGUCGAGUUGUUUGGGAAUGCAGCUCAAAACGGGUGGUAAAUUCCAUCUAAAGCUAAAUAUUGGCGAAAGACCGAUAGCGAACAAGUACCGUGAGGGAAAGAUGAAAAGCACUUUGGAAAGAGAGUUAAACAGUACGUGAAAUUGUUGAAAGGGAAACGCUUGAAGUCAGUCGCGUCUCUUGGGACUCAGCCUUGCUUUUGCCUGGCGUACUUCCUGAGGUGACGGGCCAGCAUCGAUUUUGACCGUCGGAGAAAGGCCUCGGGAAUGUGGCACCUCCGGGUGUGUUAUAGCCCUGGGUCGCAUGCGACGGUUGGGAUCGAGGACCGCAGCACGCCUUUUUGGCCGGGGUUCGCCCACGUAACGUGCUUAGGAUGCUGGCGUAAUGGCUUUAAGCGACCCGUCUUGAAACACGGACCAAGGAGUCUAACAUGCCCGCGAGUGUUUGGGUGGAAAACCCGGACGCGUAAUGAAAGUGAAAUGUUGGGACCUCUGUCGCGGAGGGCACCGACGCCCGGACCAGACCUUCUGUGACGGCUCCGAGGUAGAGCGUGCAUGCUGGGACCCGAAAGAUGGUGAACUAUGCCUGAGUAGGGUGAAGCCAGAGGAAACUCUGGUGGAGGCUCGUAGCGAUUCUGACGUGCAAAUCGAUCGUCGAACUUGGGUAUAGGGGCGAAAGACUAAUCGA